AUUCUCUUAGUGUUGAUGCUUUCAGUGUUUCAAAGUCUAUCUCUAUCUCAUCAGGAUUGGAAUUGCUCAGAGAAGGCUCUCUUGAUUGUAUUAUGUGAACUACUCGCCCAAGUUUAUCUCCAGGGAGUUUGUUUAUAUUCAGACUUAACUGCCUUUUCUCAUCAUAGUUCAUAGGUUUAGCAUUAUCUUCAUCUUCAGAUU
This 201-nucleotide long non-coding RNA is filed under the name Homo sapiens (human). RNAcentral describes it as "HSALNT0010593". The record is from RNAcentral. Lineage: Eukaryota; Metazoa; Chordata; Mammalia; Primates; Hominidae.